This 433-nucleotide ribosomal RNA is filed under the name Shouchella rhizosphaerae. RNAcentral's name for it is "bacterial SSU rRNA". It matches the Rfam family "Bacterial small subunit ribosomal RNA", at positions 115 to 533 of the family's 1533-position model. The record is from RNAcentral. Lineage: Bacteria; Bacillati; Bacillota; Bacilli; Caryophanales; Bacillaceae.
ACGUGGGCAACCUGCCCCUUAUACUGGGAUAACUCCGGGAAACCGGAGCUAAUACCGGAUAAUCCCUUUCUCCACCUGGAGAGAGGGUGAAAGAUGGCUUCGGCUAUCACUAGGGGAUGGGCCCGCGGCGCAUUAUCUAGUUGGUAAGGUAACGGCUUACCAAGGCGACGAUGCGUAGCCGACCUGAGAGGGUGAUCGGCCACACUGGGACUGAGACACGGCCCACACUCCUACGGGAGGCAGCAGUAUGGAAUCUUCCGCAAUGGACGAAAGUCUGACGGAGCAACGCCGCGUGAGUGAGGAAGGCCUUCGGGUCGUAAAGCUCUGUUGUGAGGGAAGAAGCGGUACCGUUCGAAUAGGGCGGUACCUUGACGGUACCUCACCAGAAAGCCACGGCUAACUACGUGCCAGCAGCCGCGGUAAUACAUAUGUG